CGGAGGGAAACCGAGUCUUAAUUGGGCGUUAAGUUGCAGGGUAUAGACCCGAAACCCGGUGAUCUAGCCAUGGGCAGGUUGAAGGUUGGGUAACACUAACUGGAGGACCGAACCGACUAAUGUUGAAAAAUUAGCGGAUGACCUGUGGCUGGGGGUGAAAGGCCAAUCAAACCGGGAGAUAGCUGGUUCUCCCCGAAAGCUAUUUAGGUAGCGCCUCGUGAAUUCAUCUCCGGGGGUAGAGCACUGUUUCGGCUAGGGGGCCAUCCCGGCUUACCAACCCGAUGCAAACUGCGAAUACCGGAGAAUGUUAUCACGGGAGACACACGGCGGGUGCUAACGUCCGUCGUGAAGAGGGAAACAACCCAGACCGCCAGCUAAGGUCCCAAAGUCAUGGUUAAGUGGGAAACGAUGUGGGAAGGCCCAGACAGCCAGGAUGUUGGCUUAGAAGCAGCCAUCAUUUAAAGAAAGCGUAAUAGCUCACUGGUCGAGUCGGCCUGCGCGGAAGAUGUAACGGGGCUAAACCAUGCACCGAAGCUGCGGCAGCGAACGUAUCACCCAAGACAACUUUACGGAGUUGACGAUUGACGGAGCGAAGCGACGUCAAAGCGUUCAUUAAAGUCGAGUUGGCUUAGGGAUACGUUCGUUGGGUAGGGGAGCGUUCUGUAAGCCUGUGAAGGUGUGUCGUGAGGCAUGCUGGAGGUAUCAGAAGUGCGAAUGCUGACAUAAGUAACGAUAAAGCGGGUGAAAAGCCCGCUCGCCGGAAGACCAAGGGUUCCUGUCCAACGUUAAUCGGGGCAGGGUGAGUCGACCCCUAAGGCGAGGCCGAAAGGCGUAGUCGAUGGGAAACGGGUUAAUAUUCCCGUACUUGGUGUUACUGCGAAGGGGGGACGGAGAAGGCUAUGUUGGCCGGGCGACGGUUGUCCCGGUUUAAGCGUGUAGGUGUGUGUUCCAGGUAAAUCCGGUUCACUUUAACACUGAGGCGUGACGACGAGGCACUACGGUGCUGAAGCAACAAAUGCCCUGCUUCCAGGAAAAGCCUCUAAGCAUCAGGUAACACGAAAUCGUACCCCAAACCGACACAGGUGGUCAGGUAGAGAAUACCAAGGCGCUUGAGAGAACUCGGGUGAAGGAACUAGGCAAAAUGGUGCCGUAACUUCGGGAGAAGGCACGCUGACACGUAGGUGAAGUGAUUUACUCAUGGAGCUGAAGUCAGUCGAAGAUACCAGCUGGCUGCAACUGUUUAUUAAAAACACAGCACUGUGCAAACACGAAAGUGGACGUAUACGGUGUGACGCCUGCCCGGUGCCGGAA
Molecule: ribosomal RNA, 1311 nt
Filed under: Salmonella enterica
Lineage: Bacteria; Pseudomonadati; Pseudomonadota; Gammaproteobacteria; Enterobacterales; Enterobacteriaceae
Also listed under: 4 other names
Description: partial 23S ribosomal RNA
Rfam family: Bacterial large subunit ribosomal RNA
Source: RNAcentral